RNAcentral lists this ribosomal RNA (253 nucleotides) under uncultured bacterium. Its description in RNAcentral is "partial 16S ribosomal RNA". It matches the Rfam family "Bacterial small subunit ribosomal RNA", at positions 524 to 776 of the family's 1533-position model. The record is from RNAcentral.
GACGAACCUUGCAACCGUUAUUCGGAAUCACUGGGCUUAAAGGGUGCGUAGGCGGUGCAGUAAGUUGGGUGUGAAAUACCUCGGCUUAACCGAGGAAUUGCGCCCAAAACUACUGUGCUCGAGGAAGAUAGAGGUGAGCGGAACUUAGGGUGGAGCGGUGAAAUGCGUUGAUAUCCUAAGGAACACCGGUGGCGAAAGCGGCUCACUGGAUCUUAUCUGACGCUGAGGCACGAAAGCCAGGGUAGCAAACGGG